Molecule: ribosomal RNA, 229 nt
Filed under: uncultured bacterium
Lineage: Bacteria
Description: partial 16S ribosomal RNA
Rfam family: Bacterial small subunit ribosomal RNA
Source: RNAcentral
UGCGUAGGUGGUUUGAUAAGUCAGAGGUGAAAGCCCACCGCUUAACGGUGGAAUUGCCUUUGAUACUGUCAGACUUGAAUAAGGUUGAGGUCGGCGGAAUGUGUCAUGUAGCGGUGAAAUGCAUAGACAUGACAUAGAACACCAAUUGCGAAGGCAGCUGGCUAGACCUUUAUUGACACUGAGGCACGAAAGCGUGGGGAGCGAACAGGAUUAGAUACCCUGGUAGUCC